GUUGUCCGGAUUUAUUGGGCGUUAAAGCGAGCGCAGGCGGUUUUUUAAGUCUGUAUGUGAAAGCCUUCGGCUCAACCGAAGGAGUGCAUCGGAAACUGGGAAACUUGAGUGCAGAAGAGGACAGUGGAACUCCAUGUGUAGCGGUGAAAUGCGUAGAUAUAUGGAAGAACACCAGUGGCGAAGGCGGCUGUCUAGUCUGUAACUGACGCUGAGGCUCGAAAGCAUGGGUAGC
Molecule: ribosomal RNA, 232 nt
Filed under: uncultured bacterium
Lineage: Bacteria
Description: partial 16S ribosomal RNA
Rfam family: Bacterial small subunit ribosomal RNA
Source: RNAcentral